This 273-nucleotide ribosomal RNA is filed under the name uncultured prokaryote. Its description in RNAcentral is "partial 16S ribosomal RNA". It matches the Rfam family "Bacterial small subunit ribosomal RNA", at positions 524 to 795 of the family's 1533-position model. The record is from RNAcentral.
UACGUAGGGUGCGAGCGUUGUUCGGAAUUACUGGGCGUAAAGGGAGCGUAGGCGGGAUUGUAAGUUAGAAGUUUAAUGCAUGGGCUUAACCCAUGGUCGGCUUUUAAUACUGCAGUUCUUGAGUAUGGGAGAGGGUGAUGGAAUUCCAGGUGUAGCGGUGGAAUGCGUAGAUAUCUGGAAGAACACCAGUAGCGAAGGCGGUCGCCUGGCCCAAUACUGACGCUGAUGCUCGAAAGCUAGGGGAGGCAAACAGGAUUAGAUACCCGGGUAGUA